GUAGAAAACUAUAUGCAGGGAAAACCCUGCAUUUAGCUAAUAAGCAUUCAGUCCACCUAUUUCUUCUACCUGCCCACCCUAAUAUAGCAGGCUAGAAC
Sander lucioperca (pikeperch) is the source of this 98-nucleotide long non-coding RNA. RefSeq lists it as uncharacterized. NCBI's taxonomy places the organism in Eukaryota, Metazoa, Chordata, Actinopteri, Perciformes, Percidae. The record is from RefSeq and is a predicted model, not a curated record. The transcript has 3 exons.